This 254-nucleotide ribosomal RNA is filed under the name uncultured bacterium. RNAcentral describes it as "partial 16S ribosomal RNA". It matches the Rfam family "Bacterial small subunit ribosomal RNA", at positions 524 to 776 of the family's 1533-position model. The record is from RNAcentral.
UACGGGGGGAACAAGCGUUGUUCGGAAUUACUGGGUUUAAAGCGCGUGUAGGCGGGGAGGCAAGUCUGUUCGUGAAAUCCCCCGGCUUAACCGGGGAACUGCGUCGGAAACUGCCUUUCUAGAGUACGGAAGAGGAAAGUGGAAUUCCAGGUGUAGCGGUGAAAUGCGUAGAUAUCUGGAAGAACACCGGUGGCGAAGGCGGCUUUCUGGUCCGAUACUGACGCUGAGACGCGAAGGCUAGGGGAGCAAACAGG